GGCAUUGGUGCUGCUUGGAUAUGGAAUCAUUCGGAACAGAAUGCCUAGAUGGUGAAGCAAAAACUUAAUUAAAAGAUUAUAUCUUACCACUUAAUGGGAUCUGUUAUGUUUAAUAUCAAAUAGAAGUUUGAAGGAAUGUUGCCAUUUAUUAUCUGUUCCCCCAUUUCUGUAAUUUUCCUUUUAUUAUAUUUGCGAAUAGUAACUCUAAAAUUUCCUUUAGUAACAACAUGAGCUGGAAUUGUCAGGUUCCAACAAUUGGACUUGUCAUGGGCGAGAGGGGUUUGAUUUCACGGAUGCUUUGUGCUAAAUUUAGUGGUUAUCUCACCUUCGGCACCCUUGAGUCAGGAUUCGUUUCAGCUCCUGGUCAACCAACGAUCAAGGAUUUGUUAGAUCUAUACAAUUUCAGACAGAUUGGACCUGAUACUAAAGUAUUCGGAAUUAUUGGGAAGCCUGUUGGCCACAGCAAAUCACCUUUUCUAUACAAUGAAGCAUUCAAGUCAGUUGGUUUCAAUGGGGUCUAUGUGCAUUUAUUAGUGGAUGACAUUGCAAAUUUUCUCCAGACUUGCUCAUCCACAGAUUUUGCAGGAUUCAGUCAUCUAAUGGAUCCUUGGCUAAAGGAAAAAGGAAGUUAUGCUGUCACUGGUUUCGAAAACCAUAGGUGUUGCUAAGUGAAUCUAAUUCUACAAUAUAGAUUCUGCUGUGGUAGUUGUUGAUGGUGUGAUGUAACUUUGUUUAAAACACAGCUGUACAAUUCCUCGUAAGGAAGCUGCUGUGAAGUGCUGUGAUGAAGUUGAUCCAGUUGCGAAGUCAAUAGGAGCUGUUAAUUGCAUUACAAGAAGACAAAAAGAUGGGAAGGGGAAGCUAUUUGGCUACAAUACAGAUUAUGUUGGUGCUAUUUCUGCUAUUGAGGAUGGACUACGAGGUAUUAUGUUGGUGCUAUUUCUGCUAUUGAGGAUGGACUACGAGGUAUUAUGUUGGUGCUAUUUCUGCUAUUGAGGAUGGACUACGAGGUAUUUAGUGCUUAAGAAGCCAAGAAUCUUGCUUAUGGUGCAAAAGAAAAGGGGGCAAGGGUUGUCAUUGCCAACCCAAGCUGGAUAUGAAAAGGGGGCAAGAUUUAGGUCCACAAUACAUUUGUGGUGGAUUGGAUUAUUAUUCUUUUUGUCUGCUUGGGAUAAUGUGUUACCAACCCAAGCUGUGUUUUUCAGGUUUAUGUUGACUAAGGUCUUACUGUGCUGAAUUUUUAAUUUUAUUUGUUUGCCUUCAAGAGCGAGCGAAGGAACUUGCAGAGACAAUUGGAGCAGAUGCUGUAUCUCUUGCAGAUCUGGACAAUUUCCAUCCUGAGUACGGCAUGAUUCUUGCAAACACAACAUCAAUUGGAAUGCAACCAAAGAAAGUCCUAUUUCAAAGGUUUCCCCACCACCAUGAUGCUGUUUUUUUCGUUGUGAAUUAUUAUGCAUCUCCUUGAAUGAAAAAAGGGCUAAUUACCAAAAUCCUCUAAUAAAAAAUUUGAAUAUCUAAGAAACCUUCAAAAUAUAUUUGGAUCUAUAAAACCCCAAUACAAAAUUUAUAUAUAUAAAAAACACCCAAAAUCUAACCCUCACUUGACACUAUUAAUCCAUUUGAGUUUCUUGGGAUGUAAAAUUUUCUGUUUAAACAGAAGAUUCUUUUAUUACACGUUGUUGCUCAGUUAGCACCUUCAGAGGUAAAGAGUAUUAAGAGGCUUGAUGUGUUUGCAGCACGCUUUGAGAUCUUACUCCCUGGUUUUUUAUGCUGUUUACACCCCCAAAAUAACCAGACUCUUGAGAGAAGCAGAAGAAUCUGGAGCCACGAUUGUCUCAGGGUUAGAGAUGUUUAUUGGACAGGCAUACGAACAGUUUGAGAGGUUUACUGGAUUAAGUGCCCCCGAAGAACUCUUUAAGAAGAUUAUGUCAAAGAACUGACGGUGGUUGAUUUCCCUCAAUUUUUAUUAGAAAUAUCGAAUCAUUUUCUACGUAUAAAUAAGUUCAAGAAAAUAACCCCUUUAUUAUUUUAAAUUUA
Populus trichocarpa (black cottonwood) is the source of this 2037-nucleotide long non-coding RNA. RefSeq lists it as uncharacterized. NCBI's taxonomy places the organism in Eukaryota, Viridiplantae, Streptophyta, Magnoliopsida, Malpighiales, Salicaceae. The record is from RefSeq and is a predicted model, not a curated record. The transcript has 4 exons.